Molecule: ribosomal RNA, 583 nt
Filed under: uncultured bacterium OS9F
Lineage: Bacteria
Description: partial 16S ribosomal RNA
Source: RNAcentral
CCUGCGUGCGCUUUACGCCCAGUAAUUCCGAUUAACGCUUGGACCCUACGUAUUACCGCGGCUGCUGGCACGUAGUUAGCCGGCCCUUAUUCUUCCGGUACCGUCAUCCACACCUAAUAUUAGUAAGUGCGAUUUCUUUCCGGACAAAAGUGCUUUACAACCCGAAGGCCUUCUUCACACACGCGGCAUUGCUGGAUCAGGGUUGCCCCCAUUGUCCCAAAAUUCCCCACUGCUGCCUCCCGUAGGACGUCUGGGCCGUGUCUCAGUCCCAGUGUGGCUGAUCGUCCUCUCAGACCAGCUACUGAUCGUCGCCUUGGUGAGCCUUUACCUCACCAACUAGCUAAUCAGACAUCGGCCGCUCCUAUAGCAUGAGGCCUUGCGGUCCCCCACUUUCACCCUCAGGUCGUAUGCGGUAUUAGCUAAUCUUUCGACUAGUUAUCCCCCACUACAGGGCACGUUCCGAUGUAUUACUCACCCGUUCGCCACUCGCCAUCAAUCUAGCAAGCUAGAUCAUGCUGCCGUUCGACUUGCAUGUGUAAGGCAUGCCGCCAGCGUUCGAUCUGAGCCAGGAUCAAACUCUCCA